Molecule: ribosomal RNA, 465 nt
Filed under: Vreelandella stevensii
Lineage: Bacteria; Pseudomonadati; Pseudomonadota; Gammaproteobacteria; Oceanospirillales; Halomonadaceae
Description: partial 16S ribosomal RNA
Rfam family: Bacterial small subunit ribosomal RNA
Source: RNAcentral
CCUACGGGCGGCAGCAGUGGGGAAUAUUGGACAAUGGGCGAAAGCCUGAUCCAGCCAUGCCGCGUGUGUGAAGAAGGCCUUCGGGUUGUAAAGCACUUUCAGUGGGGAAGAAAGCCUUGGGGCUAAUACCCUCGAGGAAGGACAUCACCCACAGAAGAAGCACCGGCUAACUCCGUGCCAGCAGCCGCGGUAAUACGGAGGGUGCGAGCGUUAAUCGGAAUUACUGGGCGUAAAGCGCGCGUAGGCGGUCUGAUAAGCCGGUUGUGAAAGCCCCGGGCUCAACCUGGGAACGGCAUCCGGAACUGUCAGGCUAGAGUGCAGGAGAGGAAGGGAGAAUUCCCGGUGUAGCGGUGAAAUGCGUAGAGAUCGGGAGGAAUACCAGUGGCGAAGGCGGCCUUCUGGACUGACACUGACGCUGAGGUGCGAAAGCGUGGGUAGCAAACAGGAUUAGAUACCCCUGUAGUC